Molecule: long non-coding RNA, 257 nt
Filed under: Lathyrus oleraceus (garden pea)
Lineage: Eukaryota; Viridiplantae; Streptophyta; Magnoliopsida; Fabales; Fabaceae
Description: Pisum sativum (pea) long non-coding RNA (PSAT_LNC007728)
Source: RNAcentral
GGGAAGAAGGCAGUUUACGAAGAUCAAUAUGACUUUAGCACAAGCACUGCAGGGUAUGCUAAAAGCAAAUUUAAUUACCCUCAGAGAUCCUCCUGCAAAACCCAACACUACUUCUCCUAGUUAUAAUCCCAACGCCAGGUGUGCGUAUCACUCCGAUAGCCCCGGGCAUAAUACAAACGAUUGUUGGUCGUUGAAGAAUAAAAUUCAGGAUAUGAUCGACGCCGGAGAAUUUGAAUUGGAUCCGCCUGAGACUCUUA